RNAcentral lists this ribosomal RNA (329 nucleotides) under uncultured eukaryote. Its description in RNAcentral is "partial 18S ribosomal RNA". It matches the Rfam family "Eukaryotic small subunit ribosomal RNA", at positions 1470 to 1796 of the family's 1831-position model. The record is from RNAcentral.
CCCUUAGAUGUUCUGGGCCGCACGCGCGCUACACUGAUACGUUCAACGAGUCCAAAACCUUGAUUGAUAGGUCUGGGUAAUCUUUUGAAGACGUAUCGUGCUAGGGAUAGAUUAUUGCAAUUAUUAAUCUUGAACGAGGAAUUCCUAGUAAACGCAAGUCAUCAGCUUGCAUUGAUUACGUCCCUGCCCUUUGUACACACCGUCCGUCGCACCUACCGAUUGAAUGACUCGGUGAAAAAUUGGGACCGUGAUUGAAAUUGCUUCAUUGCGAAUUUAAUUAUGGAAACUUUCUUUAACCUAGGCAUUUAGAGGAAGGUGAAGUCGUAACA